CCCUGCUUUUGUGGGGUGCUCGAGUGGCGAACGGGUGAGUAACACGUGAGUAACCUGCCCUUGACUUUGGGAUAACUUCAGGAAACUGGGGCUAAUACCGGAUAGGAGCUCCUGCUGCAUGGUGGGGGUUGGAAAGUUUCGGCGGUUGGGGAUGGACUCGCGGCUUAUCAGCUUGUUGGUGGGGUAGUGGCUUACCAAGGCUUUGACGGGUAGCCGGCCUGAGAGGGUGACCGACCACAUUGGGACUGAGAUACGGCCCAGACUCCUACGGGAGGCAGCAGUGGGGAAUAUUGCACAAUGGGCGGAAGCCUGAUGCAGCAACGCCGCGUGCGGGAUGACGGCCUUCGGGUUGUAAACCGCUUUCGCCUGUGACGAAGCGUGAGUGACGGUAAUGGGUAAAGAAGCACCGGCUAACUACGUGCCAGCAGCCGCGGUGAUACGUAGGGUGCGAGCGUUGUCCGGAUUUAUUGGGCGUAAAGGGCUCGUAGGUGGUUGAUCGCGUCGGAAGUGUAAUCUUGGGGCUUAACCCUGAGCGUGCUUUCGAUACGGGUUGACUUGAGGAAGGUAGGGGAGAAUGGAAUUCCUGGUGGAGCGGUGGAAUGCGCAGAUAUCAGGAGGAACACCAGUGGCGAAGGCGGUUCUCUGGGCCUUUCCUGACGCUGAGGAGCGAAAGCGUGGGGAGCGAACAGGCUUAGAUACCCUGGUAGUCCACGCUGUAAACGGUGGGUACUAGGUGUGGGGUCCAUUCCACGGGUUCCGUGCCGUAGCUAACGCUUUAAGUACCCCGCCUGGGGAGUACGGCCGCAAGGCUAAAACUCAAAGGAAUUGACGGGGCCCCGCACAAGCGGCGGAGCAUGCGGAUUAAUUCGAUGCAACGCGUAGAACCUUACCUGGGUUUGACAUGGAUCGGGAGUGCUCAGAGAUGGGUGUGCCUCUUUUGGGGUCGGUUCACAGGUGGUGCAUGGCUGUCGUCAGCUCGUGUCGUGAGAUGUUGGGUUAAGUCCCGCAACGAGCGCAACCCUUGUUCACUGUUGCCAGCACGUUAUGGUGGGGACUCAGUGGAGACCGCCGGGGUCAAC
RNAcentral lists this ribosomal RNA (1079 nucleotides) under uncultured bacterium. RNAcentral's name for it is "bacterial SSU rRNA". It matches the Rfam family "Bacterial small subunit ribosomal RNA", at positions 73 to 1162 of the family's 1533-position model. The record is from RNAcentral.